AUUGAACGCUGGCGGAAUGCCUUACACAUGCAAGUCGAACGGCAGCACGGGAGCAAUCCUGGUGGCGAGUGGCGAACGGGUGAGUAAUACAUCGGAACGUGCCCAAUCGUGGGGGAUAACGUAGCGAAAGCUACGCUAAUACCGCAUACGAUCUACGGAUGAAAGCAGGGGAUCGCAAGACCUUGCGCGAAUGGAGCGGCCGAUGGCAGAUUAGGAGUUGGUGAGGUAAAGGCUCACCAAGCCUUCGAUCUGUAGCUGGUCUGAGAGGACGACCAGCCACACUGGGACUGAGACACGGCCCAGACUCCUACGGGAGGCAGCAGUGGGGAAUUUGGACAAUGGGCGCAAGCCUGAUCCA
RNAcentral lists this ribosomal RNA (358 nucleotides) under uncultured bacterium. RNAcentral describes it as "bacterial SSU rRNA". It matches the Rfam family "Bacterial small subunit ribosomal RNA", at positions 30 to 390 of the family's 1533-position model. The record is from RNAcentral.